UGGGGUAUAGCCAAGUGGUCAAGGCACGGGACUUUGACUCCCGUAUCGUUGGUUCAAGUCCAACUACCCCAG
RNAcentral lists this transfer RNA (72 nucleotides) under Caudoviricetes sp. RNAcentral's name for it is "tRNA-Gln". It matches the Rfam family "tRNA". From Rfam's summary of the family: Transfer RNA (tRNA) molecules are approximately 80 nucleotides in length. The record is from RNAcentral. Lineage: Duplodnaviria; Heunggongvirae; Uroviricota; Caudoviricetes.